RNAcentral lists this ribosomal RNA (253 nucleotides) under uncultured bacterium. Its description in RNAcentral is "partial 16S ribosomal RNA". It matches the Rfam family "Bacterial small subunit ribosomal RNA", at positions 524 to 776 of the family's 1533-position model. The record is from RNAcentral.
GACAGAGGGUGCGAACGUUGUUCGGAAUUACUGGGCGUAAAGCGCGUGUAGGCGGUUCGGCAAGUCGGAUGUGAAAGCCCAGGGCUCAACCCUGGAAGUGCACUCGAAACUGCCAGACUGGAGUCCCGGAGAGGAAGGCGGAAUUCUCGGUGUAGAGGUGAAAUUCGUAGAUAUCGAGAGGAACACCUGUGGCGAAGGCGGCCUUCUGGACGGUGACUGACGCUGAGACGCGAAAGCGUGGGGAGCAAACAGG